AACGAACGCUGGCGGCAGGCUCAACACAUGCAAGUCGAACGAGAUCUUCGGAUCUAGUGGCAGACGGGUGAGGAACACGUGGGAACAUCCCUUUCAGUUCGGAAUAACGUUGGGAAACUAACGCUAAUACCGGAUACGUCCUUCGGGAGGAAGAUUUAUCGCUGAAAGAUUGGCCCGCGUCUGAUUAGCUAGUUGGUGAGGUAAUGGCUCACCAAGGCUACGAUCAGUAGCUGAUCUGAGAGGAUGAUCAGCCACAUUGGGACUGAGACACGGCCCAAACUCCUACGGGAGGCAGCAGUGGGGAAUAUUGGACAAUGGGCGCAAGCCUGAUCCAGCCAUGCCGCGUGAGUGAUGACGGCCUUCGGGUUGUAAAGCUCUUUUGUCCGGGAAGAUAAUGACUGUACCGGAAGAAUAAGCCCCGGCAAACUUCGUGCCAGCCGCCGCGGUAA
RNAcentral lists this ribosomal RNA (449 nucleotides) under uncultured bacterium. RNAcentral describes it as "partial 16S ribosomal RNA". It matches the Rfam family "Bacterial small subunit ribosomal RNA", at positions 29 to 523 of the family's 1533-position model. The record is from RNAcentral.